Molecule: ribosomal RNA, 373 nt
Filed under: uncultured organism
Description: partial 16S ribosomal RNA
Rfam family: Bacterial small subunit ribosomal RNA
Source: RNAcentral
GUAGGUGGGCAAGCGUUGUCCGGAAUUAUUGGGCGUAAAGCGCGCGCAGGGCGGUCCUUUAAGUCUGAUGUGAAAGCCGACGGCUCAACCGUGGAGGGUCAUUGGAAACUGGAGAACUUGAGUACAGAAGAGGAAAGCGGAAUUCCACGUGUAGCGGUGAAAUGCGUAGAGAUGUGGAGGAACACCAGUGGCGAAGGCGGCUUUCUGGUCUGUAACUGACGCUGAGGCGCGAAAGCGUGGGGAACAAACAGGAUUAGAUACCCUGGUAGUCCACGCCGUAAACGAUGAGUGCUAAGUGUUAGGGGGUUUCCGCCCCUUAGUGCUGCAGCUAACGCAUUAAGCACUCCGCCUGGGGAGUACGACCGCAAGGUUG